This 254-nucleotide ribosomal RNA is filed under the name uncultured bacterium. Its description in RNAcentral is "partial 16S ribosomal RNA". It matches the Rfam family "Bacterial small subunit ribosomal RNA", at positions 524 to 776 of the family's 1533-position model. The record is from RNAcentral.
UACAGAGGGGGCAAGCGUUGUUCGGAAUUACUGGGCGUAAAGGGCGCGUAGGCGGCCCGCUAAGUCGAACGUGAAAUCCCCGAGCUCAACUCGGGAACUGCGUCCGAUACUGGCGGGCUUGAAUCCGGGAGAGGGAUGCGGAAUUCCAGGUGUAGCGGUGAAAUGCGUAGAUAUCAAGAGGAACACCUGAGGUGAAGACGGGUUGCUGGGCUGACACUGACGCUGACAGCGCGAAAGCUAGGGGAGCAAACGGG